AAGUUCUUCGGAAUGGAAAUUGAUAUUCCAGCGGCGGACGGGUGAGUAACGCGUGAGCAAUCUGUCCCAGACAGGGGGAUAACAGAUGGAAACAUCUGCUAAUACCGCAUAAGACCACGAGGAGACAUCUUCUUGAGGUAAAAGGAGCAAUCCGGUUUGGGGUGAGCUCGCGUCCGAUUAGCUAGUUGGCGAGGUAACGGCCCACCAAGGCGACGAUCGGUAGCCGACCUGAGAGGGUGAUCGGCCACAUUGGAACUGAGACACGGUCCAAACUCC
Molecule: ribosomal RNA, 276 nt
Filed under: uncultured Eubacteriales bacterium
Lineage: Bacteria; Bacillati; Bacillota; Clostridia; Eubacteriales
Description: uncultured Clostridiales bacterium partial 16S ribosomal RNA
Rfam family: Bacterial small subunit ribosomal RNA
Source: RNAcentral